RNAcentral lists this transfer RNA (75 nucleotides) under Desulfofarcimen acetoxidans DSM 771. RNAcentral's name for it is "tRNA-Ile". It matches the Rfam family "tRNA". From Rfam's summary of the family: Transfer RNA (tRNA) molecules are approximately 80 nucleotides in length. Their secondary structure includes four short double-helical elements and three loops (D, anti-codon, and T loops). Lineage: Bacteria; Bacillati; Bacillota; Clostridia; Eubacteriales; Peptococcaceae. The record is from RNAcentral.
GCUGGUGUAGUUUAACGGUAAAACGGGUGGCUUAUAAUCGCUUGAUGCCGGGUUCAACCCCCACCGCCAGUACCA